Molecule: transfer RNA, 77 nt
Filed under: Clostridioides difficile
Lineage: Bacteria; Bacillati; Bacillota; Clostridia; Peptostreptococcales; Peptostreptococcaceae
Description: tRNA-Ala
Rfam family: tRNA
About the family: Transfer RNA (tRNA) molecules are approximately 80 nucleotides in length. Their secondary structure includes four short double-helical elements and three loops (D, anti-codon, and T loops).
Source: RNAcentral
GGCCUGGUACUUCAGUUGGUUGGUGUGCCAGGCUGGCACGCUGGAGGUGGAGGGUUCGAGCCCCUUCCAGGUCGCCA